This is a long non-coding RNA of Mya arenaria, 131 nucleotides long. RefSeq lists it as uncharacterized. The transcript is spliced from 3 exons. NCBI's taxonomy places the organism in Eukaryota, Metazoa, Mollusca, Bivalvia, Myida, Myidae. The record is from RefSeq and is a predicted model, not a curated record.
CAGACCAAACAUGAAGCUGCUGCUUAUUAUUCUGUGCGUUGCAUUGGUUGCUGCUGCUCCAAAAGCUAAAUCACACUCGAAGCGAUUGUCGUGUCAACUUGGCCUGUGUGACAGCAGUUGUUUCUUCCAAG